UCCCUUGUAGCUCAGUUGGUAAAGAAUCUGCCUGCAGUGCAAGAGACCCCGGUUCAAUUCCGGGGUAGGGAA
Molecule: transfer RNA, 72 nt
Filed under: Ovis aries (sheep)
Lineage: Eukaryota; Metazoa; Chordata; Mammalia; Artiodactyla; Bovidae
Rfam family: tRNA
About the family: Transfer RNA (tRNA) molecules are approximately 80 nucleotides in length. Their secondary structure includes four short double-helical elements and three loops (D, anti-codon, and T loops).
Source: Rfam by way of RNAcentral